AACGCAAAUUGCACUCCUUGGUAUUCCGGGGAGUAUGCCUGUUUGAGGGUCAGUUUAAAUAAACAUCGAGGUUGUUGCUUUUUUGUGACGCUUCGGAAUUGGGGAAGUCUUGAUCUUUGGAUCAAGUGACCUGAAAUUUACACGUUUCUGUGCAUCUCGAACGUACAUAAGAAAUGUUUCUAAAUACGUUAGGGCUUGCCGGGGUUAUAUUAGGUAUGACCAUAUUGUUCGUGGCAUUCGUACCUAUAAUGUUAUUCAUGUUUUGACCUCAAAUCAGGUAGGAGUACCCGCUGAACUUAA
This 300-nucleotide unclassified non-coding RNA is filed under the name uncultured fungus. RNAcentral's name for it is "partial contains 5.8S ribosomal RNA, internal transcribed spacer 2, and large subunit ribosomal RNA". The record is from RNAcentral. Lineage: Eukaryota; Fungi.